This 492-nucleotide ribosomal RNA is filed under the name uncultured bacterium. RNAcentral describes it as "partial 16S ribosomal RNA". It matches the Rfam family "Bacterial small subunit ribosomal RNA", at positions 29 to 507 of the family's 1533-position model. The record is from RNAcentral.
AGUGAACGCCGGCGGUAGGCCUAACACAUGCAAGUCGAACGGCAGCACAGUAAGAGCUUGCUCUUACGGGUGGCGAGUGGCGGACGGGUGAGGAAUACAUCGGAAUCUACUUUUUCGUGGGGGAUAACGUAGGGAAACUUACGCUAAUACCGCAUACGACCUACGGGUGAAAGCAGGGGAUCUUCGGACCUUGCGCGAUUGAAUGAGCCGAUGUCGGAUUAGCUAGUUGGCGGGGUAAAGGCCCACCAAGGCGACGAUCCGUAGCUGGUCUGAGAGGAUGAUCAGCCACACUGGAACUGAGACACGGUCCAGACUCCUACGGGAGGCAGCAGUGGGGAAUAUUGGACAAUGGGCGCAAGCCUGGUCCAGCCAUACCGCGUGGGUGAAGAAGGCCUUCGGGUUGUAAAGCCCUUUUGUUGGGAAAGAAAAGCAGCAGGUUAAUACCCCGCUGUUCUGACGGUACCCAAAGAAUAAGCACCGGCUAACUUCGUG